GAAUUUUGGACAAUGGGCGAAAGCCUGAUCCAGCAAUGCCGCGUGCAGGAUGAAGGCCUUCGGGUUGUAAACUGCUUUUGUACGGAACGAAAAGCUGUGGGUUAAUCCACUGGUGUCAUGAUGGUACCGUAAGAAUAAGCACCGUCGAACUCCUCGCCCGCAGCCGCGGUAAUACGUAGGGUGCCAGCGUUAAUCGGAAUUACUGGGCGUAAAGCGUGCGCAGGCGGUUUUGUAAGACAGAGGUGAAAUCCCCUGGCUCAACCUGGGAACUGCCUUUGUGACUGCAAGGCGAGAGUACGGCAGAGGGGGGUGGAAUUCCGCGUGUAGCAGUGAAAUGCGUAGAUAUGCGGAGGAACACCGAUGGCGAAGGCAACCCCCUGGGCCUGUACUGACGCUCAUGCACGAGAGCGUGGGGAGCAAA
Molecule: ribosomal RNA, 421 nt
Filed under: uncultured bacterium
Lineage: Bacteria
Description: partial 16S ribosomal RNA
Rfam family: Bacterial small subunit ribosomal RNA
Source: RNAcentral